UGGGGUACAGCUCAGUGGUAGAGUGCAUACUUAGCAUGCACAAGGUCCUGGGUUCAAUCCCCAGUACCUCUA
Molecule: transfer RNA, 72 nt
Filed under: Camelus bactrianus (Bactrian camel)
Lineage: Eukaryota; Metazoa; Chordata; Mammalia; Artiodactyla; Camelidae
Also listed under: 1 other name
Rfam family: tRNA
About the family: Transfer RNA (tRNA) molecules are approximately 80 nucleotides in length. Their secondary structure includes four short double-helical elements and three loops (D, anti-codon, and T loops).
Source: Rfam by way of RNAcentral